GCCUAUACAUGCAAGUCGAGCGGACCGACGGGAGCUUGCUCCCUUAGGUCAGCGGCGGACGGGUGAGUAACACGUGGGUAACCUGCCUGUAAGACUGGGAUAACUCCGGGAAACCGGGGCUAAUACCGGAUGCUUGAUUGAACCGCAUGGUUCAAUCAUAAAAGGUGGCUUUUAGCUACCACUUACAGAUGGACCCGCGGCGCAUUAGCUAGUUGGUGAGGUAACGGCUCACCAAGGCGACGAUGCGUAGCCGACCUGAGAGGGUGAUCGGCCACACUGGGACUGAGACACGGCCCAGACUCCUACGGGAGGCAGCAGUAGGGAAUCUUCCGCAAUGGACGAAAGUCUGACGGAGCAACGCCGCGUGAGUGAUGAAGGUUUUCGGAUCGUAAAACUCUGUUGUUAGGGAAGAACAAGUACCGUUCGAAUAGGGCGGUACCUUGACGGUACCUAACCAGAAAGCCACGGCUAACUACGUGCCAGCAGCCGCGGUAAUACGUAGGUGGCAAGCGUUGUCCGGAAUUAUUGGGCGUAAAGCGCGCGCAGGCGGUUUCUUAAGUCUGAUGUGAAAGCCCCCGGCUCAACCG
RNAcentral lists this ribosomal RNA (587 nucleotides) under Bacillus licheniformis. RNAcentral's name for it is "bacterial SSU rRNA". It matches the Rfam family "Bacterial small subunit ribosomal RNA", at positions 46 to 615 of the family's 1533-position model. Lineage: Bacteria; Bacillati; Bacillota; Bacilli; Caryophanales; Bacillaceae. The record is from RNAcentral.